This 412-nucleotide long non-coding RNA is filed under the name Ananas comosus (pineapple). RNAcentral describes it as "long non-coding RNA (ACOM_LNC015170)". The record is from RNAcentral. Lineage: Eukaryota; Viridiplantae; Streptophyta; Magnoliopsida; Poales; Bromeliaceae.
GUGCAGCAGAGGCACAUCGACCCUAGUAGACAGGGUAUCCUCUUGUGAGGAUUGGAUCAUACUCACCAGUCUGUUUUGCUUGUCGGUGGUCGCUCCACCGAGGCACGAGUCUCCGGAGUACUUCACUAGGGGCAGACGUAGUUGUCCCGCAGACGGUCUCGGUGUGCGAGUGCAGCUUCUCCUCACCUAUGAGAUUGAGAGUGAGUCGAGGGUUAACCUACGGGUUAACCAAGUAGAUUGGGUAAUAAACAUGAAAUGCAUAGUAGACUUGCAUUAUUAUCUUGAGUAGACAUAGUGUAUGUUGUAGAUUACAUUGCUAUGCAUCUUUAUAUACUCAUGACAUGAUUCUAGCAUGAUGGUAGUUGUUGCAUGCAUUAUCACCAUCGAUGGCAUGAUAGAGUAGUUGCAGUUC